GGUCUUCGGAUGCUGACGAGUGGCGAACGGGUGAGUAAUACAUCGGAACGUGCCCGAUCGUGGGGGAUAACGCAGCGAAAGCUGUGCUAAUACCGCAUACGAUCUACGGAUGAAAGCGGGGGAUCGCAAGACCUCGCGCGGACGGAGCGGCCGAUGGCAGAUUAGGUAGUUGGUGGGAUAAAAGCUUACCAAGCCGACGAUCUGUAGCUGGUCUGAGAGGACGACCAGCCACACUGGGACUGAGACACGGCCCAGACUCCUACGGGAGGCAGCAGUGGGGAAUUUUGGACAAUGGGGGAAACCCUGAUCCAGCCAUGCCGCGUGCAGGAUGAAGGCCUUCGGGUUGUAAACUGCUUUUGUACGGAACGAAAAGGUCCUUUCUAAUAAAGAGGGCUCAUGACGGUACCGUAAGAAUAA
Molecule: ribosomal RNA, 417 nt
Filed under: uncultured bacterium
Lineage: Bacteria
Description: bacterial SSU rRNA
Rfam family: Bacterial small subunit ribosomal RNA
Source: RNAcentral